This 231-nucleotide unclassified non-coding RNA is filed under the name Fusarium sp. RNAcentral's name for it is "partial internal transcribed spacer region". The stretch from base 1 to 46 matches the Rfam family "Eukaryotic small subunit ribosomal RNA", at positions 1786 to 1831 of the family's 1831-position model. Lineage: Eukaryota; Fungi; Ascomycota; Sordariomycetes; Hypocreales; Nectriaceae. The record is from RNAcentral.
AAGUCGUAACAAGGUCUCCGUUGGUGAACCAGCGGAGGGAUCAUUACCGAGUUUACAACUCCCAAACCCCUGUGAACAUACCACUUGUUGCCUCGGCGGAUCAGCCCGCUCCCGGUAAAACGGGACGGCCCGCCAGAGGACCCAAACAAAACUCUUUGCAUUUUGAAUACAGUAUUCUGAGUGACAUGAUUAAAUAAAUCAAAACUUUCAACAACGGAUCUCUUGGCUCUG